UUGAACGCUGGCGGCAUGCCUUACACAUGCAAGUCGAACGGGCUUUGGGGCUUGCUCCAAAGUUAGUGGCGAACGGGUGAGUAAUAUAUCGGAACGUGCCCUGGAGUGGGGGAUAACUAGUCGAAAGAUUAGCUAAUACCGCAUACGAUCUAAGGAUGAAAGUGGGGGACCGCAAGGCCUCACGCUCCUGGAGCGGCCGAUAUCUGAUUAGCUAGUUGGUGGGGUAAAGGCCCACCAAGGCAUCGAUCAGUAGCUGGUCUGAGAGGACGAUCAGCCACACUGGGACUGAGACACGGCCCAGACUCCUACGGGAGGCAGCAGUGGGGAAUUUUGGACAAUGGGGGAAACCCUGAUCCAGCAAUGCCGCGUGAGUGAAGAAGGCCUUCGGGUUGUAAAGCUCUUUUGUCAGGGAAGAAAAGGCUCAGGAUAAUACCCUGGGUGAAUGACGGUACCUGAAGAAUAAGCACCGGCUAACUACGU
This 480-nucleotide ribosomal RNA is filed under the name uncultured bacterium. RNAcentral's name for it is "bacterial SSU rRNA". It matches the Rfam family "Bacterial small subunit ribosomal RNA", at positions 30 to 506 of the family's 1533-position model. The record is from RNAcentral.